CCCCUCUCAGGAUCAUACCUAGAGAGUUUUUGGUACUCUACCAGUCUCGACUAUGGGAGAGAGAGUCAAGCAGAGGCCUACCCAUUCCAUUCCUAGCCUGGGCAGUGGCUAGCAAGUGGAAGGCAAUCUGCUACAAGU
Molecule: small nucleolar RNA, 138 nt
Organism: Ornithorhynchus anatinus (platypus)
Lineage: Eukaryota; Metazoa; Chordata; Mammalia; Monotremata; Ornithorhynchidae
Source: RefSeq, a predicted model, not a curated record